CUAAGGGGGGCUGCAGUGAGGAAUAUUGCACAAUGGGGGGAACCCUGAUGCAGCAACGCCGCGUGGAGGAUGACGCAUUUCGGUGUGUAAACUCCUUUUAUAUGUCAAGAAAAUGACGGUAGCAUUUGAAUAAGCACCGGCUAACUCCGUGCCAGCAGCCGCGGUAAUAAGGAGGGUGCAAGCGUUACUCGGAAUCACUGGGCGUAAAGGACGCGUAGGCGGGUUGGAAAGUCAGGUGUGAAAUCCUACAGCUUAACUGUAGAACUGCACUUGAAACUUCUAAUCUAGAGUAUGGGAGGGGGAGAUGGAAUUAGUGGUGUAGGGGUAAAAUCCGUAGAUAUCACUAGGAAUACCUAAAGCGAAGGCGAUCUCCUGGAACAUUACUGACGCUAAGGCGUGAAAGCGUGGGGAGCAAACAGGAUUAGAUACCCUCGUAGUC
Molecule: ribosomal RNA, 439 nt
Filed under: uncultured bacterium
Lineage: Bacteria
Description: partial 16S ribosomal RNA
Rfam family: Bacterial small subunit ribosomal RNA
Source: RNAcentral